UAACCUGUCUUUGUGCAGUGAAAUAGCCUCAGUGAGAUGCUUAGAGGCAUCAUCAGGAUUGGACCUUAGCACUAGCAACCUGCAGCAGACUGCAAUGGCUCUGCCUUUAAUACACUCCAAACCCUGUGUGUUAUACAGCCGUAAUAUUGAACACAUGAGGCAGACAGGUGCCCUGAGGCAUUCUCCGUAAAAACUUUCAUAUCACAACGGAACUGAACGUACCAUUAUAACACCACGUCUCCUCUUCUUCACGGUGAUGCUGUAGAAGACUGCUUCCACUGGUGA
Nothoprocta perdicaria is the source of this 285-nucleotide long non-coding RNA. RefSeq lists it as uncharacterized. NCBI's taxonomy places the organism in Eukaryota, Metazoa, Chordata, Aves, Tinamiformes, Tinamidae. The record is from RefSeq and is a predicted model, not a curated record. The transcript is spliced from 3 exons.